This 492-nucleotide ribosomal RNA is filed under the name uncultured bacterium. RNAcentral describes it as "partial 16S ribosomal RNA". It matches the Rfam family "Bacterial small subunit ribosomal RNA", at positions 29 to 507 of the family's 1533-position model. The record is from RNAcentral.
AGUGAACGCUGGCGGUAGGCCUAACACAUGCAAGUCGAACGGCAGCACAGUAAGAGUUUGCUCUUACGGGUGGCGAGUGGCGGACGGGUGAGGAAUACAUCGGAAUCUACUUUUUCGUGGGGGAUAACGUAGGGAAACUUACGCUAAUACCGCAUAUGAUCUACGGGUGAAAGCAGGGGAUCUUCGCACCUUGCGCGAUUGAAUGAGCCGAUGUCGGAUUAGCUAGUUGGCGGGGUAAAGGCCCACCAAGGCGACGAUCCGUAGCUGGUCUGAGAGGAUGAUCAGCCACACUGGAACUGAGACACGGUCCAGACUCCUACGGGAGGCAGCAGUGGGGAAUAUUGGACAAUGGGCGCAAGCCUGAUCCAGCCAUACCGCGUGGGUGAAGAAGGCCUUCGGGUUGUAAAGCCCUUUUGUUGGGAAAGAAAAGCAGCAGGUUAAUACCCCGCUGUUCUGACGGUACCCAAAGAAUAAGCACCGGCUAACUUCGUG